RNAcentral lists this long non-coding RNA (1285 nucleotides) under Sus scrofa (pig). RNAcentral describes it as "lncRNA (ENSSSCG00035068347.1)". The record is from RNAcentral. Lineage: Eukaryota; Metazoa; Chordata; Mammalia; Artiodactyla; Suidae.
UUUUUUUUUUUUUUUACCAACUAGGGCAAGUUUCUUAACUUCCUAACACUCAUGAGUAAAACAAGAAUAAGAAAUUGUUCUUAUCUCAUAGAGAUGCUGUGAGAUGAGUUCUAAUCUUCAAUGCCUGACAUAUAAUACAAGCCAAAAAAAUCAAAGCUUUAAAAAAAAAUACACCAGAAAAAAAAAUGAAAAGUUAAGAACAUUCUGUAUGCAUCUAACACAUUUGCUUUUUGUUUUUGUCUUUUUAGGGCUGCACCUGUGGCAUAUGGAGGUUUUCACAAAUUAUCUCAAAAGUGAAGUAGGAUUACUGUCACCACUUUACUUAUUUAUUCCACAAAUAUUUCUUAGUCGUCCUCUGUAUCUCAGGCAUUUUCCUAUUGUUACCAGGAAUAAAGGAAACAAAACAGAUGAGGUCCCAACUCUCAUGGUGUUCUUACAUUGUAGAAGAGGGGGAGAGUCCAUAACAAAAAAAGGAGACAAUCUCAAGAAGGGUAAAUAUCAAAAUGAAAAUUAAGCACAAUGAUACAACAGGGACUAUCAGGUGGUCAGGGGAAGUCUCACAGAGGAGAUAACAUUUAAACUGAAACCCUAACAACUAGUAAGGGCCAAACUGUGUUACAGGCUGCAGGGGGCUGGGACAGGUAGGGAAUAAGGUAGGAAGUAAAGGCAGGGAAAGAAAGCUAGUAAAAAGGUUCUAGAGUAGCAGUGAGAUUCACGUUUGAUGAACAGAAAGAAGUUCAGAGUGGCUGGAGUAUAAAGAGAGAGAGUAGAAGUGAAAGAAAAGCCAGGUCAUAUUAAAGCCUCACUGAGGUUCAGGACUUGAAUAAAAUUACACAAUUUGUCCCCAGGCAAAGCUAGACUUGAACUCCACAACAGUAUGACCCCCCAAGUCCACUAUCUUUCUAGUACACCAAAGUUAACAUAUGUUAUUCAUAGCUCAAUGCUUUAAACACUGUAGAUGUUUAGUAAAUGUCUACUGGAAAGAAAAAGAAAAAAACUAAACACUUUCACAUACCACUCUUCAUUUCUGUUCUGGUCAGAAAAAUGUCAAUUGUCCAUCCAAAUACUUCUGAACAGUCUCACUGAAGAUUAGUAGGAUCUAUAUAGGUGUAAUUCGCAGUCUUGGCCACACACUAGAAAUCACCUGGGAAACUAACAAAUACUAAUACCUGAGUCCACCACAUCCAGAAAUUAUGACAUAUGUGGUCUGGGAUGCGGGGGACUCCAAUUUUUUUUAAAGUUCCCCAAGUUAUUCUUCUGUGCAUUCCAAAUUGAGAACCAUUGC